UUAUGCCAUGCUGGACAUGGCCAAUGUAUGUCUGAAGAUGUUCCCAUAGCAGAAGAAUGAGACAAGAUAUAAGAUGGACAAGACUUGGAAAACAUUCCGGGAACAUUGUACAGGUGUGAUUGUGUAUAGGUGGAGGAAGACUACAGUAGAAGUGGCUGGAUGGGAUAGAGUGUGAGGCAAGAAGUAGGCAAGCUCCUCUGGCUGUCACAUUCCAACCUGGAAUCCUGCUGACAGGAAUGUUGAGGAAUGUUGCUUCCAGGCUUCUAGCUCAUGUAAUACAAAGAACAUUGAGAAAGCCCUUUUGAAAUAUUUAUGGCCAUCAUCAUCAUAUCCAAGAAACCUUAAGACCUGAUUACAUGCAGCUGUUG
Microcebus murinus (gray mouse lemur) is the source of this 368-nucleotide non-coding RNA. Lineage: Eukaryota; Metazoa; Chordata; Mammalia; Primates; Cheirogaleidae. The record is from RefSeq and is a predicted model, not a curated record.